Lolium rigidum is the source of this 839-nucleotide long non-coding RNA. RefSeq lists it as uncharacterized. The transcript has 4 exons. NCBI's taxonomy places the organism in Eukaryota, Viridiplantae, Streptophyta, Magnoliopsida, Poales, Poaceae. The record is from RefSeq and is a predicted model, not a curated record.
CCGCCGCCGCCCCCAAUAGAUCUCCUCUCUCCGGCGAAAUGUUCUGUUACCUUCUCCGAGACAAAUCCCCUUCCGCACUCAUCCUCCUCUCUUCAGGAUCCUCUCCCCCCGCCCUUUCUGCACUCAUCCUCCUCGGUCUGGGUACUUUCCCCCACAGCCCCGAGGCAGUGUUUGGUGUUUGUCGCCUGAGACAAAUCGGAGUCUGAUACACCGAUAUUAGUCUUAUCCAUCUCCCAUCAGGUGGUCCAAGAUGGAUUGUAUGUUGCUGAUGACUGAAUGUGCCCCAAUAGUUUGUGUCUUAUUUAAAGUGCAGAAACAUAAUAUUAAUCCAAGACUUAUUCAUCAGAAAAUGCUUCUACGGAAAGAGCUACUCCUCUAAAUAAUUAGUACACAACUAUGCGGCAAUUGUUUUCAAUUGAGACUAUGAGCUACUUGAAUGAUGUUUGUACAGUAAAGUGUAGAGGGUCACAUGAUUCAAGUGCCAAGGUUCAGAAAAUAAUCGGUUUGGACAUCAAAUUACUCUAGAAAAGACAACUUGACCUCUAAUUUUAGUAUUUGCAAAACCAGCCUCUGUUUUACUGGUCAUUAUUUCGUUGCAGUUGUUCUCAUGCUAUCUUCAAGAUAUCUGUCAAGCAAAAGGAGACCCCAAGUUCUACAAAUGAGAAGAGGCUGCCUUUAAAUGAAGAGGAAAGAUGGAGCAUUUCCCCGCACUGCGACAGAUAAAUUAACCCGCCUUCCGCGUUUUUGUUAGUAAUAGUUUUAUUUCUGAAUGAUGUUAUCUUAAGCCGGAAUAUUAAUGUGGAAAUGCUAUGUAUUCAAGGCCAACAGCUAUUCGCUCU